UGACUAUAAAUACAGAAUUCGGAGAAGCAGUUGCCUCUGGAGUGGGAGAGGCACGGGCAGGAGGUGGGCUGGGCAGCAGUGACAGGCAUGUCACCAAAUCAGCUCACGCUCACUUGCGGGCUGAUGACUGUGGGACCAAGGAUUACAGUGAAUCCAAUUUCGUAUGUCUGGGGCCUUUUACAAAAUGAAACCUGGAGUUCCUGUCAUGGCAUCAGUGGAAACAAACCCGACUAGGAUCCAUGAGGUUGCAGGUUCAACCCCUGGCAUCACUCAGUGGGUUAAGGAUCCAGCAUUGCUGUGACCUGUGGUGUAGGUUGCAGACACGGCUCAGAUCCCGAGUUGCUGUGGCUCUGGCGUAGGCUGGCAGCUGUAGCUCUGAUUCCACCCCUGGCCUGGGAAUCUCCACAUCUCCACAUGCCUCUAGUGCAGCCCUGAAAAGAAAAAAAAAGAAAAGAAAAAAAGAAACCCUAAGUUUUUAAGACCAUAAAGAGUACCAUUUACCUUUUAUCUGCUCUAGUACAUGACCGACACAUAAGGUUUUUGUCAAAUUGUAUUGAACCAAAUUGAAUGGAUUCUUAUCCAACUGGGUUAAGGUGGAGAAUAAUGGAGUUGCCGUCGUGGCUCAGUGGAAACGAAUCUGACUAGCAUCCAGGAGGACAAAGGUUCGAUCCCUGGUCUUGCUCAGUGGGUUAAGGAUCUGGCAUUGCCGUGAACUGCGGUGUAGGUCACAGACAUAGCUCAGAUCCUGAGUUGCUAUAGCUGUGGUGUAGGCCAGCCACUACAGCUCCAACUUGACCCCUAGCCUGGGAACCUCCAUAUACAACGGGUGCGGCCCUAAAAAAAAAAAAAAAAGUUGGAGACUAACACAAGUUCACGGCAGAAGCGCUCAAUCCCAGGGCUAGGAUUCUACAUCCCUCCAAAGAGCCAAACCUGAAUAGGAGAUAAUGGAAUGUACUGGAGUCUUUUAUCUUCUUUCUUCCCAUCUUAUCAGCACAUACUCACUGGCCACCUGGCAGAGGGUGACCCGCUCUCUUGCCCAGAUCAGGAAGAAGCCAGCAGGUGCACGUCCCAGGUAUCCGCCUUUCCAGCCUCACACCUGCUCUCCCGUGGGCAGGACUGUGGGGAAGCCCGUCACACCUACUCUCUGACUCCGUGACUUUGGGGCAGUCGGUGCAGCUCCCUGGGCAUCUGUUUUCAUACUGGUGAAACGCUCUGCUGUUAGGGAGGGAAAGACCUUCGGAGAAUUAUUGGGGCUUCUCCAGAAAGACAUCCAUCCAUAUUCCCCACAUGGGAAGUGAUAACUUGACCUGGUGGUAUGCGAAUUGCACAAGAGAGAAGCAUGGAGAAGUGGUUUUGAUAGACUUAAAUAGGAUUUUAAAACAGCUACCAUCACCAUUAGCCACAUAAGAGGGUUUUUUGCAGCUUGAUGGUGUUAGUACUUAGAUUUUCAUCUUGGAAAAAAAAAAAA
RNAcentral lists this long non-coding RNA (1468 nucleotides) under Sus scrofa (pig). RNAcentral's name for it is "lncRNA (ENSSSCG00005001593.1)". Lineage: Eukaryota; Metazoa; Chordata; Mammalia; Artiodactyla; Suidae. The record is from RNAcentral.